AUGGCUAACUGCUUUCGAUUUGUGUAAGCGCCGUCAAGAACAACGCUGCCCAAUAGCAGCAACGAGCCGCAUGAGUGAGAUCUGUACUCCGUAACAGCGCAAGAAAAAACCCUCGAUGAGCAUAUUCCGUGAAUUUUGCUGCCAAUCGGCAUCUGCUCGACGUGAAUACUGUUGGAGGGAUUGGGUUGGGUGGUUCGUCCCCUCUAUUACCAGUUGGCUCGGGUGGUAGCUAAGCUCCUUUGCCCCAGAAGCCUAGAAUUAUCAACCUAGAGGAAGCAUAUGGAAUCGUGUUUAACUCUUACAAUUUAAUUCUUGCACAGGAGCGGCUCAUCUGAAUGCCCGAGUUCCCUAGUUGGCAUAAAUUUCAUGGAUCUGGGCG
RNAcentral lists this small RNA (379 nucleotides) under Histoplasma ohiense. RNAcentral describes it as "hypothetical lncRNA". The record is from RNAcentral. Lineage: Eukaryota; Fungi; Ascomycota; Eurotiomycetes; Onygenales; Ajellomycetaceae.